CCGUCGCGUUCUGAUGCAGCACAGACUAACAACACAGCCGAAAGAAAGCAAAGCGUUUCCUUUCCACGGAGCUUCAUGGCGCUGCUGGUUGUGUGAAUGGCAACGCUAUGCUGGAGUCGACGCGAAGAGGUCUGUUCACACAUGCGAUGCAUUAUAAUCGUGUCGUUGUCAACUGCAAACGCUCUGGGGAUGCGUGAUCCGGGAACUUCUUCAAUAAAUACGACACGCCCCUUGUGAGCUGCGUGCCUACGGCGACGCCAAACUAGGAGGGUAAAAGUUGUCGACGCAUUCCAUGUGAGUGGACGGCAAGAAAUCAGAAAGAACAAGGAUGACGGCAUAUUGUGCUGCAUACGGUUGCUUACAACGCCUUACAAUUACGACAAAGGGAACUGGGAGUAAUCUUUCAGAUGUAAAAAUAUCAAUUGGGUCUUUCUUCAAAUGUUAUGUAUUGAUAGAAAAUACUUUGGAAUUGUAAAAGUAAACCUAGUGAGAAAUGAGCAAGUUACGACUGAAUUUCAAUGUCCAUGCAUUGCCUUUGAUGGGAACGUCGACCGUCCUAACAUGGCCGCCACGUCGACACAUUGGUUAGCUGGACUAGCUAGUCUUCAUAGCUAUGAUCAUGACCAUAUAUGGAAGUGCCGACACAAGGGUCUGACAUAGCGUGUGACGUCAACAAAAUCGACAAGUGUGCAUUUGAAUAACUUAAAAAAAAUAUAGGCUCUCGUCAGAGUCAAUGAAUUUUACGAAAAUAAAUGGAUUAACUGAGAAAACAGAAUGACGAGUAUGCCAUCAAGACGUCGCAGCGCGUGGCUGAAAGGUGAAGAAUGGUCAUAUCAAACGAGUUACAGACAAUGACAUCAACUCGCUUGUCUUGGAGGUUGAGGGUUCAAACGUCAGUACCAACUACAUCACGUGUCCUGCUGACCCGAGGCAGACACUUGGUAUCAAAAUGCCAUUUCUUGUGAUGAUUGUCAAGAAGACCAGGAAAUAUUUCAGCUUUGAAGUCCAGGCACUGAAACAUGCACUUUGCACAUUUUGAUUAUAUAUUAUAAUCAUUGCUAUUCAUGGUCUCCAUUACAUCCCUUUCCACUUUCAGGUGUUAGAUGAUCAGAAUUUACGCCGGCGGUUUCGGGCAAGUAAUCACCAUAGCAAGACGCAAGUGAAUUCAUUUAUGUGCACGAUGCCAAUUAGUGUUGAUGACCGCUGGAACCAGUUUCAAUUCAACUUGGCAGACAUUACCAGGAGGGCCUACGGAACCAGUUAUGUAGAGACGCAGCGUGUUCAGGUGCGUUUGUGCGUGGACAGCAGAGGAAAGUGAUCACCAAAUGCUCCUGAAGAACCCACGGAAAGUAAUGGAAAUAGAAGUAAUCCAAAGUGGGGUCCAACUCUUGCCAUUUUACUAAUAUUUUAACUGUCAUAAAAUAAUAAAAAAACAAUUAACCACUGGUAAUAUGAAAACAUAAACACUGAAACUUUAAUAACGAAUGACAAAUUUUGAAGGUGAUUCACAUUUAAACAUCCCUCAAACAUCCAUCCAUCCAUUUACUGAGGCACUUCUCCUCACAAGGGUGGCGGGCGUGCUGGAGCCUAUCCCAGCUAUCAUCGGGCAGGAGGCGGGGUACACCCUGAACUGGUUGCCAGCCAAUCGCAGGGCACAUACAAACAAACCACCAUUCGCACUCACAUUCACACCUACGGGCAAUUUAGAGUUGUCAAUUAACCUACCAAGCAUGUUUUUGGGAGGAAACAGGAGUUCCCGGAGAAAACCCACGCAGGCACGGGGAGAACAUGCAAACUCCACACAGGCGGGGCCGGGGAUUGAACCGCGGUCCUCAGAACUGUGAGGCAGACGCUCUAACCAGUCGGCCGCUGCUGCCUCAAACAUUACAUCCUUAAUUCCCAAACAAGUGUAAAAAGAAGUUUUCAUGCAUGCUCGGCAGUUGCACAACAUUAAAAACAAAAUACAACGCAAAUGUUGACACUAGGUCUUACUCAAUACCCCUUGUUGAGGUUGAUCCUUCUUUUGGAACAAGUGUGGCCAAAUACAGUUACAAGAAAAAGUAUGUGCACCCUUUGGAAUUAGCUGGAUCUCUGGAUAAAUUAAAAUGUAAUAUGAUCUUCACCUAAGUCACUACAAUAGAAAGUCUGCUUUAUCUAAUACCACACAAACAAUUAUGAUUACAUGUUUUUAUUGAACACUUGAACAUUCUCAGGGCUGGGUAAUAAAAGUAUGUUAGUGAUGUACGAGUGCCACUAGUAGUACCUGCGCUCUCUCUAGUUGUAAGCAAAAGAUUCACAGUUUAAGUACAUUCAGUUGCAUUUAAUUUUUUAAGAAUGGUUUGUUUUUAAAAAUGUAUUUAGGUACAGUUUUAACUUUUGAUAUACACUUGAAGGAAUCAUCAUUUAAGUAUAGUUUAAAAAAAAAAAAACAAUACUAUAGUUUAGCACAGUGUUAAUGUUCAAACUGAAUAAUGUACAGUUGCUUACAAUAUUAGAUAUAAUUUUUGGAAUAAAACCUCUGUCUCGUUUUGAUGAACACUUGGGCCUAUUACGCUACUGUAUUUUAAUGCUGUCAUUAUGGUGGUACUUGGAAUGCUAAGUAUUUUUUUUGGGUGAUACUUGGUGUAAAUGGGUUGAGAACUACUGCCCUAGGAGGUCAAGGGUGGACAGCUAAUUUUCUGAAGGGGCCAUGUGAUGAGCUGAAACAUUUGUCGAGGGCCACACCAUGUUAACCCCAAUUAUGUUAAUUAUGAAUUUAUAUGAAUUAGUAAAUGGUACUGUUUUAAUAAGAUGCUACUUGUAGAUAUGGUAAACGAUAUUGUUGUAAUUAGGAAAUUAAAAAUGUAAGCAGUUAUAUUACAAUUAUACAGUGUACUGUAUAAACUUCAUCACAAUUUAAUAAACAUUCACAAAAAAAAACAAAAAAAAAACACUACAGUGCAUGAAGUUAUCUAUACAGUAUUUUCAAAAUGUGCUGAUAUUGGGCUGUAUUCAUCCUUUUGAAGGAGUGGCUGUCCUGUCAAGAUGACUGCAAGAGCACAGUGCAGAAAGCUAAAAAUACAACAAUCCAAAGCCAAAUCCUCAAAUGUAUCCUUAAGAUUUACAAAAUGCUUGCAGUACAUAUCUGUUGACAAAUCUACGAUGGGUAAAACAUUAAACAAGAAUGGAUGUCAUUUGAGGACACCACAGACAAAGCCACUCUUGUGUUUCGAAGUUGCAAAAGAGUGGCUGGAUGUUACCCAGCGGUACUGGCAAACUAUUGUGUGGACAGAUGAAAUGAGAGUUGAGUUGUUUGGAAGUAACACACAAUGCUAUUUGUGGAGGAAAAGGGUGCACAGCACACCAUUCCAUUCAUUCCAAAGGUUCACAUACUUUUUCCAACUCUGCACAGUGACGUUUACAUGUUGUGAUUCGUGAAAAUAUUACGAGUUUCAGGUUUUUGAAUCUUGAGGUGACCUACAUUUCUGAGCUGCUGACUACGUUAAUAAGGUGUUAACUUGUUUCAUUAGAGCAUAUCCAUUUGCAAGUGUUCUCUCUCUUUGUCUGGUUUACAGUGGUGCAUAUUUCAAAGUUGUGGUCAAAAAAGCAUUUCAUCUCAUCUGGGCUAGACAGAAUUUCCUAAAAUCUUACAUCUGCCCCAUAGGUUUGCCGAGCUGAGGUUGCCGAGGUCUUGAGUUAUAUACUGAUAUUUUGCAUGAAGACAGUUUUUGUGAUUUAGUGUCCUAUACUUUCAAAAUAAUUUGGUUAAAUUCAAGGGUACUCGACUCUGCUUCCACUGUUUUAUCCUAAUGCUGCCUCCUGAGCAGUAUGAACAAAUGUACUUUAUCACCCUGUUGGUUGUGUGAUUGUAACUUGUGAAACACAGUAAGUGUCCCGGGUUAAACUUCCCUCGUCUUGCACGCCAUGCCCAUCAACCCUUUCUUUUUUUUCCCUACAGCUGAGGUGCCUUUGAGGAAGGCACCUGAAUCCCUCAGUAGUUCUGCAUUCACUGUGAUGGGUCAAAAUGAGAAAUUUGACUUUAUUGCAUGCUUGCAAAGAUCACAUGACAGUAAACCUGAACAUUCACAAUUAAUCUAAAAAAGUCCAUAUCUGUGCAAUCGUUAUCUUUUUUUCUUUCAGAUUCAUGCUAAUUGUCGCAUCAGGAGGGUAUAUUUCACAGAUAAACAAUAUACAGAGGAUGAGCUCCCACCUGAGUUUAAACUGGUUAUUCCAGUCAAGAAACAGGAGGCAAGCAAAAAGGGAGUUCCCAGACCUGCUGCAACCCGACA
RNA transcript from Phyllopteryx taeniolatus (common seadragon), 4268 nucleotides. It is a transcript of the gene named cilia- and flagella-associated protein 20-like, with no coding region annotated. The record is from RefSeq and is a predicted model, not a curated record. NCBI's taxonomy places the organism in Eukaryota, Metazoa, Chordata, Actinopteri, Syngnathiformes, Syngnathidae. The transcript is spliced from 5 exons.